UACGGGGGGGGCAAGCGUUGUUCGGAAUUACUGGGCGUAAAGGGUUCGUAGGUGGCCAACUAAGUCAGACGUGAAAUCCCUCAGCUUAACUGGGGAACUGCGUCUGAGACUGGAUGGCUUGAGUGCAGGAGAGGAACGCGGAAUUCCAGGUGUAGCGGUGAAAUGCGUAGAGAUCCGGAAGAACACCGGUGGCGAAGGCGGCCUGCUGGGCAGUAGCUGACACUGAGGCGCGACAGCGUGGGGAGCAAACAGG
This 253-nucleotide ribosomal RNA is filed under the name uncultured bacterium. RNAcentral's name for it is "partial 16S ribosomal RNA". It matches the Rfam family "Bacterial small subunit ribosomal RNA", at positions 524 to 776 of the family's 1533-position model. The record is from RNAcentral.